Molecule: ribosomal RNA, 253 nt
Filed under: uncultured bacterium
Lineage: Bacteria
Description: partial 16S ribosomal RNA
Rfam family: Bacterial small subunit ribosomal RNA
Source: RNAcentral
UACGUAGGGGGCAAGCGUUGUCCGGAUUUAUUGGGCGUAAAGAGCGUGUAGGCGGCCAGGUAGGUCCGCUGUGAAAACUCGAGGCUCAACCUCGAGAUGUCGGCGGAAACCAUCUGGCUAGAGUCCGGAAGAGGAGAGUGGAAUUCCUGGUGUAGCGGUGAAAUGCGCAGAUAUCAGGAAGAACACCCGUGGCGAAGGCGGCUCACUGGCCCGGUACUGACGCUGAGGUGCGAAAGCGUGGGGAGCAAACAGG